GAUGAACGCUGGCGGCGUGCCUAAUACAUGCAAGUCGAGCGAACGGACGAGAAGCUUGCUUCCUUGCUGUUAGCGGCGGACGGGUGAGUAACACGUGGAUAACCUACCUCUAUGACUGGGAUAACUUCGGGAAACCGGAGCUAAUACCGGAUAAUAUUAUGAACCGCAUGGUUCAAAAGUGAAAGACGGUCUUGCUGUCACUUAUAGAUGGAUCCGCGCUGCAUUAGCUAGUUGGUAAGGUAACGGCUUACCAAGGCAACGAUGCAUAGCCGACCUGAGAGGGUGAUCGGCCACACUGGAACUGAGACACGGUCCAGACUCCUACGGGAGGCAGCAGUAGGGAAUCUUCCACAAUGGGCGAAAGCCUGACGGAGCAACGCCGCGUGAGUGAUGAAGGUCUUCGGAUCGUAAAGCUCUGUUAUUAGGGAAGAACAUAUGUGUAAGUAACUGUGCACAUCUUGACGGUACCUAAUCAGAAAGCCACGGCUAACUACGUG
This 497-nucleotide ribosomal RNA is filed under the name uncultured bacterium. RNAcentral's name for it is "partial 16S ribosomal RNA". It matches the Rfam family "Bacterial small subunit ribosomal RNA", at positions 28 to 507 of the family's 1533-position model. The record is from RNAcentral.